ACGCCGGUAGCUCAAUUGGCAGAGCAGCGGAUUCCAAAUCCGCAGGUUGAGGGUUCAAGUCCUUCUCGGCGUG
This 73-nucleotide transfer RNA is filed under the name Planctomycetota bacterium. RNAcentral's name for it is "tRNA-Trp". It matches the Rfam family "tRNA". Rfam says of the family: Transfer RNA (tRNA) molecules are approximately 80 nucleotides in length. Their secondary structure includes four short double-helical elements and three loops (D, anti-codon, and T loops). Lineage: Bacteria; Pseudomonadati; Planctomycetota. The record is from RNAcentral. RNAcentral also lists the same sequence under 1 other name.